AUUGAACGCUGGCGGCAUGCCUUACACAUGCAAGUCGAACGGCAGCACGGGUGCUUGCACCUGGUGGCGAGUGGCGAACGGGUGAGUAAUACAUCGGAACAUGUCCUGUAGUGGGGGAUAGCCCGGCGAAAGCCGGAUUAAUACCGCAUACGAUCUACGGAUGAAAGCGGGGGACCUUCGGGCCUCGCGCUAUGGGGUUGGCCGAUGGCUGAUUAGCUAGUUGGUGGGGUAAAGGCCUACCAAGGCGACGAUCAGUAGCUGGUCUGAGAGGACGACCAGCCACACUGGGACUGAGACACGGCCCAGACUCCUACGGGAGGCAGCAGUGGGGAAUUUUGGACAAUGGGCGAAAGCCUGAUCCAGCAAUGCCGCGUGUGUGAAGAAGGCCUUCGGGUUGUAAAGCACUUUUGUCCGGAAAGAAAUCCUUGGCCCUAAUACGGUCGGGGGAUGACGGUACCGGAAGAAUAAGCACCGGCUAACUACGUG
This 486-nucleotide ribosomal RNA is filed under the name uncultured bacterium. RNAcentral describes it as "partial 16S ribosomal RNA". It matches the Rfam family "Bacterial small subunit ribosomal RNA", at positions 30 to 507 of the family's 1533-position model. The record is from RNAcentral.